Molecule: ribosomal RNA, 496 nt
Filed under: uncultured bacterium
Lineage: Bacteria
Description: partial 16S ribosomal RNA
Rfam family: Bacterial small subunit ribosomal RNA
Source: RNAcentral
AUGAACGCUGGCGGCGUGCCUCAUACAUGCAAGUCGAGCGAACAGACGAGGAGCUUGCUCCUCUGACGUUAGCGGCGGACGGGUGAGUAACACGUGGAUAACCUACCUAUAAGACUGGGAUAACUUCGGGAAACCGGAGCUAAUACCGGAUAAUAUAUUGAACCGCCUGGUUCAAUAGUGAAAGACGGUUUUGCUGUCACUUAUAGAUGGAUCCGCGCCGCAUUAGCUAGUUGGUAAGGUAACGGCUUACCAAGGCGACGAUGCGUAGCCGACCUGAGAGGGUGAUCGGCCACACUGGAACUGAGACACGGUCCAGACUCCUACGGGAGGCAGCAGUAGGGAAUCUUCCGCAAUGGGCGAAAGCCUGACGGAGCAACGCCGCGUGAGUGAUGAAGGUCUUCGGAUCGUAAAACUCUGUUAUUAGGGAAGAACAAAUGUGUAAGUAACUAUGCACGUCUUGACGGUACCUAAUCAGAAAGCCACGGCUAACUACGUG